Molecule: ribosomal RNA, 506 nt
Filed under: uncultured bacterium
Lineage: Bacteria
Description: partial 16S ribosomal RNA
Rfam family: Bacterial small subunit ribosomal RNA
Source: RNAcentral
AGUGAACGCUGGCGGUAGGCCUAACACAUGCAAGUCGAACGGCAGCACAGAGGAGCUUGCUCCUUGGGUGGCGAGUGGCGGACGGGUGAGGAAUACAUCGGAAUCUACUCUGUCGUGGGGGAUAACGUAGGGAAACUUACGCUAAUACCGCAUACGACCUACGGGUGAAAGCAGGGGAUCUUCGGACCUUGCGCGAUUGAAUGAGCCGAUGUCGGAUUAGCUAGUUGGCGGGGUAAAGGCCCACCAAGGCGACGAUCCGUAGCUGGUCUGAGAGGAUGAUCAGCCACACUGGAACUGAGACAUGGUCCAGACUCCUACGGGAGGCAGCAGUGGGGAAUAUUGGACAAUGGGCGCAAGCCUGAUCCAGCCAAACCGCGUGGGUGAAGAAGGCCUUCGGGUUGUAAAGCCCUUUUGUUGGGAGAGAAAUCCAUCUGGUUAAUACCCGGGUGGGAUGACGGUACCCAAAGAAUAAGCACCGGCUAACUUCGUGCCAGCCGCCGCUGUAA